RNAcentral lists this unclassified non-coding RNA (252 nucleotides) under Hevea brasiliensis (rubber tree). The record is from RNAcentral. Lineage: Eukaryota; Viridiplantae; Streptophyta; Magnoliopsida; Malpighiales; Euphorbiaceae.
UUUCUUUCAUUUUCAUUCCUUUUUUUCAAGUGUUUAAUUUGGACUCUUCAAUGUUUGUUGGAAUGAAAAAAUAAACAUGCAUCGUCUUUUUCAUUAUUUAUUUAUUAUAAAUUGAAAUUUUUAACACAAAAACCAUUAUUAACAAACCAAUAACAAUGGAAUAUUACUGAAAUAGUAAACCCAAUAUAAUGACAAUAGGGUUUAAUUAUUAGCAAACAUAUAUAUAUAUAUCGUGAUUUAGCAUAAUUAUUG